UACGGAGGAUCCGAGCGUUAUCCGGAUUUAUUGGGUUUAAAGGGAGCGUAGGCGGAUUGUUAAGUCAGUUGUGAAAGUUUGCGGCUCAACCGUAAAAUUGCAGUUGAAACUGGCAGUCUUGAGUACAGUAGAGGUGGGCGGAAUUCGUGGUGUAGCGGUGAAAUGCUUAGAUAUCACGAAGAACUCCGAUUGCGAAGGCAGCUCACUGGACUGCAACUGACACUGAGGCUCGAAAGUGUGGGUAUCAAACAGG
This 253-nucleotide ribosomal RNA is filed under the name uncultured bacterium. Its description in RNAcentral is "partial 16S ribosomal RNA". It matches the Rfam family "Bacterial small subunit ribosomal RNA", at positions 524 to 776 of the family's 1533-position model. The record is from RNAcentral.